Molecule: ribosomal RNA, 465 nt
Filed under: uncultured bacterium
Lineage: Bacteria
Description: partial 16S ribosomal RNA
Rfam family: Bacterial small subunit ribosomal RNA
Source: RNAcentral
UGCCAGACUCCUACGGGAGGCAGCAGUGGGGAAUAUUGCACGAUGGGGGGAACCCUGAUGCAGCGACGCCGCGUGGGUGAAGGAGCACCUCGGUGCGUAAAGCCCUAUCGGCAGGGAAGAAAAGCGAACAGGUUCGCCUGGACGGUACCUGACUAAGAAGCCCCGGCUAACUACGUGCCAGCAGCCGCGGUAAUACGUAGGGGGCAAGCGUUAUCCGGAUUCACUGGGUGUAAAGGGAGCGUAGACGGCGGCGCAAGUCUGGAGUGAAAGCCCGGGGCCCAACCCCGGGACUGCUCUGGAAACUGCGGCGCUGGAGUACGGGAGGGGCAGGCGGAAUUCCUGGUGUAGCGGUGAAAUGCGUAGAUAUUAGGAGGAACACCAGUGGCGAAGGCGGCCUGCUGGACGACAACUGACGGUGAGGCGCGAAAGCGUGGGGAGCAAACAGGAUUAGAUACCCCGGUAGUA